Molecule: ribosomal RNA, 468 nt
Filed under: uncultured bacterium
Lineage: Bacteria
Description: partial 16S ribosomal RNA
Rfam family: Bacterial small subunit ribosomal RNA
Source: RNAcentral
GACGAACGCUGGCGGCGUGCUUAACACAUGCAAGUCGAACGGAAAGGCCCUGCUUUUGUGGGGUGCUCGAGUGGCGAACGGGUGAGUAACGCGUGAGUAACCUGCCCUUGACUUUGGGAUAACUUCAGGAAACUGGGGCUAAUACCGGAUAGGAGCUCCUGCUGCAUGGUGGGGGCUGGAAAGUUUCGGCGGUUGGGGAUGGACUCGCGGCUUAUCAGCUUGUUGGUGGGGUAGUGGCUUACCAAGGCUUUGACGGGUAGCCGGCCUGAGAGGGUGACCGGCCACAUUGGGACUGAGAUACGGCCCAGACUCCUACGUGAGGCAGCAGUGGGGAAUAUUGCACAAUGGGCGGAAGCCGGAUGCAGCAACGCCGCGUGCGGGAUGACGGCCUUCGGGUUGUAAACCGCUUUCGCCUGUGACGAAGCGUGAGUGACGGUAAUGGGUAAAGAAGCACCGGCUAACUACGUG